Mastomys coucha (southern multimammate mouse) is the source of this 572-nucleotide long non-coding RNA. RefSeq lists it as uncharacterized. The transcript is spliced from 2 exons. Lineage: Eukaryota; Metazoa; Chordata; Mammalia; Rodentia; Muridae. The record is from RefSeq and is a predicted model, not a curated record.
CUUCAGGGAGAAGCAUCAUUCUCAGCAUGAAAGCAUUUUUUUUUUUAUCACGAUCAUAGAACCAUUGGAACAUUCUAGAAAUAUGUGGAAUGUCUAAAUAUUCCACACGGUGUGUGACGUGCUAAUGUGUGUAUGGCUUGACACAACACCUUCCAUCUAAGGUCUCACAGCUGCAAUUCUGUUUCAGAAGAUGGCCAUCUUUAUCAUACAAAAGUUGCAGCUGUUGUGACGAUAACAAGAUAAAAGAAAUACACAGAUAUUAAAGCAAGGAGAUAAAGGAGCCAAAUUCACAUAGGGACGACCUGGAUUCUUCAUGUCUCUAUUUCGACAAUGGUAAAACAAAUGAAUACGUUUAUCUGAGGUUCCGGAUCUGGCAGUUGAUUCAGCAAUCUCUUCCUGCAGAAGCUUCCAGAAGCUGCAUUUACCCCCAUGGGCCAUCUCUGUUCCAUUGGAUAAACUGCAAAUACUGAUUAGCCACAUGCGGUGGGGAUGACAGAGCAAGGGAGCCCAUUGUUAUAACACUCUGCCCUCCACUCUACUUAGUGAUAAUAAGAGAGGCUGUAAUUGCUUGG